CUGGCUCAGGAUGAACGCUAGCGGCAGGCUUAACACAUGCAAGUCGAGGGGCAUCGGGAGUAGCAAUACUUGCCGGCGACCGGCGCAAGGGUGCGUAACGCGUGAGCAACAUGCCCGUAUCAGGGGGAUAAUCCAUGGAAACGUGGUCUAAUACCCCAUAGUAAUUAUGUAAGGCAUCUUAUAUAAUUUAAAGCUUUGGUGGAUACGGAUUGGCUCGCGUGACAUUAGCUGGAUGGUAAGGUAACGGCUUACCAUGGCUACGAUGUCUAGGGGUUCUGAGAGGAAGGUCCCCCACACUGGAACUGAGACACGGUCCAGACUCCUACGGGAGGCAGCAGUGAGGAAUAUUGGACAAUGGAUGGAAAUCUGAUCCAGCCAUGCCGCGUGCAAGGAAGACGGCCCUAUGGGUUGUAAACUGCUUUUGUAUGGGAGCAAUAAGGGCUACGUGUAGUCCGAUGAGAGUACCAUACGAAUAAGCACCGGCUAACUCCGUGCCAGCAGCCGC
This 505-nucleotide ribosomal RNA is filed under the name uncultured bacterium. RNAcentral describes it as "bacterial SSU rRNA". It matches the Rfam family "Bacterial small subunit ribosomal RNA", at positions 19 to 518 of the family's 1533-position model. The record is from RNAcentral.